This 253-nucleotide ribosomal RNA is filed under the name uncultured bacterium. Its description in RNAcentral is "partial 16S ribosomal RNA". It matches the Rfam family "Bacterial small subunit ribosomal RNA", at positions 524 to 776 of the family's 1533-position model. The record is from RNAcentral.
UACGGGGGGGGCAAGCGUUGUUCGGAAUUACUGGGCGUAAAGGGCUCGUAGGUGGCCAACUAAGUCAGACGUGAAAUCCCCAGGCUCAACUUGGGAACUGCGUCUGAUACUGGAUGGCUUGAAUUCGGGAGAGGGAUGCAGAAUUCCAGGUGUAGCGGUGAAAUGCGUAGAUAUCAGGAGGAACACCGGUGGCGAAGGCGGUUCUCUGGGCAUUACCUGACGCUGAGGAGCGAAAGUGUGGGGAGCGAACAGG